UGUAAGCCCAGCAUUAGACCAGCAAUGUUUUUUCCCCUCAGAGAAAGAAAAAAAGGCUGCAAAAGUACAGGGAGGAAUGGGAAAAGGAAAACACCUGGCUGGAAAAGUGCACGACAACACCUAUAAGGCGCACUGCACUGUGUGCCGGCACACUUUUUCCAUAGGCAUGCUUCUAAUGGUGGGCACAUGAAGAACAUGAGGGGCGUGAAAGCUCGGGGAACCCUUAACCAAUUUUUUGUCCACCAGGCCACGGCAGAAGCAGAUAUGGAUCCAGCACUGAUUCCUGACGCCGUGGGAAGCCAGCACCGGAGUCUGUGCACAGCCCUCUUAGACGAGGCCGAAAGACCUGGGACGUUAAAAUUCGGGUCCAGGCCGGUGUUUUUAGUCUGGUCCACGGCGGUGGGAUUCAGUCUGGCGAUCCGAACCACCAGUGAGACGUCUGAGGGUGAGAAACACUAUUUUGAUAUAUAAAACGGCCGCAAAGGUUUAAAGAAACGGGAUAAAAACAGGUUUAAGUUCGCCAAAAGAACUGUGUUUAGACUGGUUUUAGAGGUAGCCGAAAUUACUUCAUGACAAAUUAAAAUAUGUUCAGGCAAAUUAAAACACGUUGAGACAAAGAAAUUAAAAUAGGUUUAAGUUCGCCAAAAGGAACUGUGUUUAGACUGGUUUUAGAGGUAGCCGUAAAAUACUUCGUGACAAAUUAGCGCGCAAAUGUCUAUCUGUGUGUAUGUGUCUAGAAGUAAGUUGAUUUUACAGCACAAUACGCUGCUGAACUGCUUCUAUUUUAUUUUGUUCUUUGCUUGAGGCUCACACACUGGUGACAAAGGAGAACGGUUGAGCUUCGUCUCAUAAAACUGAUACCGCUUCAGCUCUAGGGUGAAGUCGAAGGCCGUAUCAGUAAACCACUCUGAAGUCAAGCGUGUCAGUGAAGGCCCAGCAAAAUCUUUAAAAAUGGGGAAUAAACAAGCAAAAUUAACACCUGAUGAGGGAUGGUUAGAAAAACAACAAACCGGAGCAGGAAUAAUCCAAAAGAAGGGGAGAGGAAUGGAGAGGCAGACAGGCGAAAAAGAGUAAAAGCAUUAACAAACAAAGAAGACAGUGACUCAGAACAGGAUAGCAGCUCAGGUGAAGAGAAUAGUUCAGAUCAGGAAGAACAUAAUAAUCCCUCACCAAGUGAAAAAUU
Long non-coding RNA from Oreochromis niloticus (Nile tilapia), 1183 nucleotides. RefSeq lists it as uncharacterized. NCBI's taxonomy places the organism in Eukaryota, Metazoa, Chordata, Actinopteri, Cichliformes, Cichlidae. The transcript is spliced from 2 exons. The record is from RefSeq and is a predicted model, not a curated record.